This 454-nucleotide ribosomal RNA is filed under the name uncultured Bacteroides sp. Its description in RNAcentral is "partial 16S ribosomal RNA". It matches the Rfam family "Bacterial small subunit ribosomal RNA", at positions 341 to 792 of the family's 1533-position model. Lineage: Bacteria; Pseudomonadati; Bacteroidota; Bacteroidia; Bacteroidales; Bacteroidaceae. The record is from RNAcentral.
ACGGGAGGCAGCAGUGAGGAAUAUUGGUCAAUGGUCGGAAGACUGAACCAGCCAAGUCGCGUGCAGGAAGACGGUCCUAUGUAUUGUAAACUUCUUUAGACGCAGAGAAAUAAGGGGCUCGAGAGCCCUGAUGCUAGUAUGCGUAGAAUAAGGAUCGGCUAACUCCGUGCCAGCAGCCGCGGUAAUACGGAGGAUCCGAGCGUUAUCCGGAUUUAUUGGGUUUAAAGGGAGCGUAGGCGGAAGGUCAAGUCAGCUGUGAAAUGUAGUCGCUCAACGUCUGCACUGCAGUUGAAACUGGCCUCCUUGAGUGCGUAAGAGGCAGGCGGAAUUCGUCGUGUAGCGGUGAAAUGCUUAGAUAUGGCGAAGAACUCCGAUUGCGAAGGCAGCUUGCUGGGCCGCAACUGACGCUGAAGCUCGAAGGUGCGGGUAUCGAACAGGAUUAGAUACCCUGGUA